Acanthosepion pharaonis is the source of this 112-nucleotide non-coding RNA. The record is from the annotation of a GenBank genome assembly. Lineage: Eukaryota; Metazoa; Mollusca; Cephalopoda; Sepiida; Sepiidae.
ACAGCCAUGUCACAUUGAAGCACUACUUCUUGUAUGAUCACUGAAGUUAAGUAACAUUGAGACUGGUCAGUACCUGGAUUGGUGACUGCUUGGGAACACUCAGUGCUGAAAG